GAUGAAGAACGUAGCGAAAUGCGAUAAGUAAUGUGAAUUGCAGAAUUCAGUGAAUCAUCGAAUCUUUGAACGCACCUUGCGCCCUUUGGCCAUUCCGAAGGGCAUGCCUGUUUGAGUAUCAUGAACACCUCAACUCUUCAUGGUUUUCCAUGAUGAGCUUGGACUUUGGGGGUCUUGCUGGCCUGUGGGUCGGCUCCUCUCAAAUGAAUCAGCUUGCCGGUUUUUGGUGGGCAUCACAGGUGUGAUAACUAUCUACGCUUGUGGUUUUCCACCUGGGUAACCUUCAGCAGUGGAGGUUCACUGGAGCUUACAAAUGUCUCUCCUCUGUGAGGACAGCCCUUUGAAUGUUUGAUCUCAAAUCAGGUAGGACUACCCGCUGAACUUAAGCAUAUCAAUAAGCGGAGGA
Molecule: unclassified non-coding RNA, 406 nt
Filed under: soil metagenome
Description: partial contains 5.8S ribosomal RNA, internal transcribed spacer 2, and large subunit ribosomal RNA
Rfam family: 5.8S ribosomal RNA (bases 1-121)
Source: RNAcentral